UGGGGAAUUUUGGACAAUGGGGGCAACCCUGAUCCAGCAAUGCCGCGUGUGUGAAGAAGGCCUUCGGGUUGUAAAGCACUUUUGUCAGGAACGAAACGGUGGAGGCUAAUACCUUCUGCUAAUGACGGUACCUGAAGAAUAAGCACCGGCUAACUACGUGCCAGCAGCCGCGGUAAUACGUAGGGUGCAAGCGUUAAUCGGAAUUACUGGGCGUAAAGCGUGCGCAGGCGGUUGUGCAAGACAGAUGUGAAAUCCCCGGGCUCAACCUGGGAAUUGCAUUUGUGACUGCACGGCUAGAGUGUGUCAGAGGGGGGUAGAAUUCCACGUGUAGCAGUGAAAUGCGUAGAUAUGUGGAGGAAUACCGAUGGCGAAGGCAGCCCCCUGGGAUAACACUGACGCUCAUGCACGAAAGCGUGGGGAGCAAACAGG
Molecule: ribosomal RNA, 429 nt
Filed under: uncultured bacterium
Lineage: Bacteria
Description: bacterial SSU rRNA
Rfam family: Bacterial small subunit ribosomal RNA
Source: RNAcentral